Molecule: ribosomal RNA, 279 nt
Filed under: uncultured bacterium
Lineage: Bacteria
Description: partial 16S ribosomal RNA
Rfam family: Bacterial small subunit ribosomal RNA
Source: RNAcentral
UGCCAGCAGCCGCGGUAAAACGUAGGGGGCGAGCGUUAUCCGGAUUUACUGGGCGUAAAGCGCACGUAGGCUGCGCUGUAAGUUGGGCGUGAAAGCUCCUGGCUCAACUGGGAGAGGUCGUUCAAUACUGCAGUGCUUGAGGUUGGAAGAGGAGAGUGGAAUUCCCGGUGUAGUGGUGGAAUGCGUAGAUAUCGGGAGGAACACCAGUGGCGAAGGCGGCUCUCUGGUCCACACCUGACGCUGAGGUGCGAAAGCGUGGGGAGCGAACGGGAUUAGAUA